RNAcentral lists this long non-coding RNA (265 nucleotides) under Mytilus galloprovincialis (Mediterranean mussel). Lineage: Eukaryota; Metazoa; Mollusca; Bivalvia; Mytilida; Mytilidae. The record is from RNAcentral.
CUCUUAAGUUAUAUUAUCAAAACUGAAUAUUUUAGUUAUUUUGACAGUAUAGCAGAUAGUGUGUUACAUCUUCUAUGGUUUCACAGGUUAGGCACGGUCUUUGAUUUAGAGGUAAAUGCUAUACAUUUUAGCAUAAAAAGUAAGGUUGUCCGAUAUCUUCUACUACAAUUGGAUACUAUUCAGCUGUCCUAUGUAAGGUAUACAAACUCGUCAGUCCAUAUGAAUGAAAGGGGAAAUGAGUCAGGUAUACAUGAAUUUGACUCCA